RNAcentral lists this ribosomal RNA (253 nucleotides) under uncultured bacterium. Its description in RNAcentral is "partial 16S ribosomal RNA". It matches the Rfam family "Bacterial small subunit ribosomal RNA", at positions 524 to 776 of the family's 1533-position model. The record is from RNAcentral.
UACAGAGGGUGCGAGCGUUGUCCGGAAUCACUGGGCGUAAAGGGCGCGUAGGCGGCCUGAUAAGUCGGGGGUGAAAUCCUGUGGCUUAACCACAGGGCUGCCUCCGAGACUGUCGGGCUCGAGCACAGUAGAGGCAGGUGGAAUUCCCGGUGUAGCGGUGGAAUGCGUAGAGAUCGGGAAGAACAUCGGUGGCGAAAGCGACUUCCUGGACCAAUACUGACGCUCAUGUGCGAAAGCGUGGGGAGCAAACAGG